UUUCCGGUUGAUCCUGCCGGAGGCCUUUGCUAUUGGGAUUCGAUUUAGCCAUGCUAGUCGCACGAGUUCAGACUCGUGGCGAAUAGCUCAGUAACACGUGGCCAAACUACCCUUCGGACCACCAUACCCUCGGGAAACUGAGGCUAAUAGUGGAUACCACAGUCCACCUGGAAUGAGGACUGUGCCAACCGCUCCGGCGCCGAAGGAUGUGGCUGCGGCCGAUUAGGUAGACGGUGGGGUAACGGCCCACCGUGCCAGUAAUCGGUACGGGUGAUGAGAGUCAGAGCCCGGAGACGGAAUCUGAGACAAGAUUCCGGGCCCUACGGGGCGCAGCAGGCGCGAAACCUUUACACUGCACGCACGUGCGAUAAGGGGACUCCGAGUGCGAGGGCAUAUCGUCCUCGCUUUCGUGUACCGUAGGGUGGUACACCAACAAGGGCUGGGCAAGACCGGUGCCAGCCGCCGCGGUAAUACCGGCAGCCCGAGUGAUGGCCGAUCUUAUUGGGCCUAAAGCGUCCGUAGCUGGCCGCGCAAGUCCGUCGGGAAAUCCACCUGCCCAACAGGUGGGCGUCCGGCGGAAACUGUACGGCUUGGGACCGGAAGGCGCGACGGGUACGUCCGGGGUAGGAGUGAAAUCCCGUAAUCCUGGACGGACCGCCGAUGGCGAAAGCACGUCGCGAGAACGGAUCCGACAGUGAGGGACGAAAGCCAGGGUCUCGAACCGGAUUAGAUACCCGGGUAGUCCUGGCCGUAAACAAUGUCUGCUAGGUGUGGCUCCCACUACGAGUGGGUGCUGUGCCGUAGGGAAGCCGCUAAGCAGACCGCCUGGGAAGUACGUCCGCAAGGAUGAAACUUAAAGGAAUUGGCGGGGGAGCACUACAACCGGAGGAGCCUGCGGUUUAAUUGGAUUCAACGCCGGAA
Molecule: ribosomal RNA, 921 nt
Filed under: uncultured archaeon
Lineage: Archaea
Description: bacterial SSU rRNA
Rfam family: Archaeal small subunit ribosomal RNA
Source: RNAcentral